This 253-nucleotide ribosomal RNA is filed under the name uncultured bacterium. RNAcentral's name for it is "partial 16S ribosomal RNA". It matches the Rfam family "Bacterial small subunit ribosomal RNA", at positions 524 to 776 of the family's 1533-position model. The record is from RNAcentral.
UACGUAGGGUGCGAGCGUUGUCCGGAAUUAUUGGGCGUAAAGGGCUCGUAGGCGGUUUGUCGCGUCGGGUGUGAAAACACCGGGCUUAACCCGGUGCUUGCUUUCGAUACGGGCAGACUAGAGGCAUGCAGGGGAGAACGGAAUUCCUGGUGUAGCGGUGAAAUGCGCAGAUAUCAGGAGGAACACCGGUGGCGAAGGCGGUUCUCUGGGCAUGUCCUGACGCUGAGGAGCGAAAGUGUGGGGAGCGAACAGG